GUUAAAGUGGCUGAGAUAGGCGAUAAAUUGUAAAUUUAUUUACGGGGACACUCCUUUAACA
RNAcentral lists this transfer RNA (61 nucleotides) under Endelus continentalis. RNAcentral's name for it is "tRNA-Tyr". The record is from RNAcentral. Lineage: Eukaryota; Metazoa; Arthropoda; Insecta; Coleoptera; Buprestidae.